Alligator sinensis (Chinese alligator) is the source of this 8439-nucleotide RNA transcript. It is a transcript of the gene named arylsulfatase G, with no coding region annotated. NCBI's taxonomy places the organism in Eukaryota, Metazoa, Chordata, Crocodylia, Alligatoridae. The transcript has 14 exons. The record is from RefSeq and is a predicted model, not a curated record.
AAGCUUGUGGGAGGAGCAGGGCCUCGCUCUCACUCGCACACACUCGUCUCACUGUACGGCAGGGAGGAUUAAAACAUGGCAGGCAGCAGCAGCAGGCAGCUCGAUGCACCGAAGGCAACAAGUCCCAUCUCAUGCUAACGAUGUGGGAAGUUAAGAGGACCGGCCCACACUCGCAGAGCGAGUCCGAGACCGAGAGCUCCCCACUGGCCGUUCAGAACGAGGAUGCAGCGCGGAGAUCUGGACAUUGCAAAGGCUCCGCGAGGGAAACGGUGGGCACGGUUGCCACAUGAGCCGUAGCAAUGUGCUGAUUGCGCCUCAUGCAGACCACGGGUUGAGAACCACUGAUUUACCAGCAAGUAGCACUGUGCAGAUGACUGCUUCAUGAAUAGUAUUGGUCUCUCCUAACAGAAGCUGUAGGAUGCUGGAUAGAGAGGACAAUGUGCUGUAAUAUGAAGGUUUUCCCUCAUGUGGAAUUCAAGGAGCCGCUGAACGUUUGCUGACUCGACUACAACCCGUGUUUCUUCUUUAAAGACAUGGACAACAUUUGGGAAGCCAAGGAGAAAUUUCCAUUGUGAACAUACGAACUCUUAAAUUCCAGGCAUCCAGGAUUGGGUCCUAUGCAGUUUCUAAAGUGUGGAUUCGAUUCUGACAGCUCAUAGCCAGGAUAAAGAAGCUGUAGAAACACUUGGGAAAAUCAAGUAAUCUUCUCAUUGAGACAAUGUUAUCCUGUUAACUGCAAAUGUGCAAAGAACAACAAUCACUAGGCAUCAGUGUUUGAGAGACUGCUGUUUCAUCCUUCAGCUGGGUGGAGGUGAAGCAUGCCAUCUGUUUGCAACUGGAAAAGAAAGGACAGAUUAUGGCACAGCUGGUAGCCCAGCGAUCCCAAAUUAAUGCUGGCUGAUGUGUUAUAACUCUUGAGCACUAUCUGAAGAGGCAAAACGUACUUCUUUGCAGAAUAGCAGAGAUGUCAUGAGUGGUGCUAAAUAUGUGAAUCACAAUGAAGGGAGCUCUUAACAAGCAUCGAGCAGGAACACUAAUUCAUAUGCAAGUAUUUUAAGAGGCAUUUUCCUAGAAGCAUGAUGGACCCUCUGUUCCUCAAAGCGCUGCUGCUUUUGGCUGGCUGCUUGACUGGGCUUGUCUAUCAUCUCUCCAAUCCUUUUCUGGGAGAAAAGAGAACAGGUUAUGAAAAACCGAAUUUUGUAAUCAUUUUGGCAGAUGAUAUUGGAUGGGGGGACCUUGGAGCCAACUGGGCUGAAACAGAGGAUACUCCUCACUUGGAUAAGUUGGCUUCUGAAGGAAUGAGGUUGGUGGAUUUCCACUCGGCAGCAUCCACUUGCUCCCCGUCUCGCGCCUCGCUCCUCACGGGACGGCUUGGCACUCGCAAUGGCGUGACCCACAAUUUUGCUGUGACUUCAGUUGGUGGCCUCCCCCUAAACGAAACCACGUUGGCUGAGGUUCUGCAGGACGCCGGAUACCUCACUGCCGUGAUCGGUUUCGACUAUUACUUCGGGAUCCCCUACAGUCACGACAUGGGCUGUACUGACACCCCAGGCUACAAUCUCCCUCCGUGUCCAGCCUGCCCUUGGCACUCUGCAUUGACAAGCAGCUCUGGGAAGGACUGCUACACCGAGGUGGCACUUCCUCUCUUUGAAAACAUCAGUAUUGUCCAACAGCCUGUCAACUUGACCAGCUUGGCUGCGGAGUAUGCAGAAAAAGCAACUCGGUUCAUUCAGUGUGCCAGGAAAAGCGAACGCCCGUUCUUCCUGUACCUGGCUCUUGCUCAUAUGCACGUGCCCUUGGUAAUUGCUCAGCCACCAUCCUGCUCGUCAGUCAGGGAGGUAUACGGAGCCAGCUUGAGGGAGAUGGAUGCUUUCGUGGGACGGCUGAAAGAGGAGAUCGACAGCUCCCAGGAGGAAAACACACUUCUUUGGUUCACAGGAGAUAACGGUCCGUGGGCGCAGAAGUGCGAGCUUGCGGGGAGUGUCGGCCCAUUCAUCGGCACGUGGCAGCGACGGCGAGGUGGGAGCUCAGCAAAGCAAACCACUUGGGAAGGGGGACAUCGCAUUCCAGCACUGGCAUACUGGCCUGGCAAGAUCCCUGCAAAUGUGACAAGUGCUGCUCUGUUGAGCACCUUGGACAUUUUCCCCACCGUAGUGUCCCUGGCAAAUGCAGCCCUCCCUCCCCACAGACGCUUCGAUGGCCUGGAUGUGUCUGACGUCCUCUUUGGGCAAUCGCACAAUGGACACAAAACAUUGUUCCACCCCAACAGCGGAGCGGCUGGAAAGGACGGAGAGAUAAAAGCACUACGGCUGGCUCAGUACAAGGCUUUUUACACGACAGGUAGAGUGUCUGGUCCACAUUUAGACAGGCCCAUAGCCAGAGUCCCAGCUUCUUUGGAGAAGGUUAAAAACCCAGUACAAGAACAGAUCCAGACAAUGAGCUGCCCCCUCCCAGAAGCAUCUCUCCUGCAUUUGCUGAUGGCUGAGCAAAGGAGGUAGGCUGCGCACCGCAAAGGUGGCCUUUGAAACAGUUUUGCAGUGAAAGUGGGAUGCAGGCUCCAGGGCUACGGACGCCUCGCAGAGCACGGGCAGCUCCUGCGCAGACUCAGCAAGGCACGCAGACCCGUGACUUCGACAGACAUGCUCAAAGGCAGGUGCUUGAGUAUCCUGCUGACUUUUUGCCACAGUGCUGUUGCUGGUGCCAUUGCUGCACUGGUCGCUAUUGCCAGUCCUGGUGAUGUCUGGAAACGAAGCUAUGGGAAGGGGACAGCCAGAGGCAUUUCAAAAAUAGGUGAAGAUGAAGGCUCUUGAUGAGAAACCCCAGCAGUCUAGGGAGUGCUGUUUCCCUCGGUGCUUGGUGGGAGCUCACAUCCAUUUACCCUCAGAGGGUGGCUGACCGAAGUGGGUCCCUCACCCAGCCUCAGACCUGCUGGGCCUGCCUCCAUCACCUGGUGGGUGACAGCUUCUCCGGUCAGAGCCAGUUUCUGGCCUCCCUGCGUUGAUGUUUAACCUGAGCAGCUUCAUGGCUAUGCUGGUGUACCUCGUAUUUUCCCUUUUUGCUUUGCUCUUCCUUUUUACAGCAACCCAGACUCCAGCCCCCAGGACACCUUGCUAUGUUUCCCUUGUGUGUAGAGCUUUCCAAAACCAUCGUUUCACCACCACAUCAUCCUGGGGUCUGCCCCUGCAAACCCGAAGGCCGCUGCAUUGAAGGAUUUGAAGCCCAGCUGGAGUUUCUGACCCAGCACUGAAUUUCAGAGCUGUACUUACUUUCAGGCAAGGCCUUUGCCAAAUCAUGGAGCAAGUCACUUCAUGGAUUGCUUGUGCUAGCACCGUCCCCAGAGAGCUGGAGAGGCUCUUAUGGCAGCUUCUGCCAUGGUGCAGCUGUACCCUAGGAAACGUCUGCGUUUCCUAGCCUAACUCCACAUGAAAAGGGGUUUGCUUUCUGCUUCCAGCUGGUUACACAAAGCCCAGCAGUGUGGGAACUGGGCUAGGGAUGAGAGGUGUGUCCUACUUAGUUCCUUGCCUCCGAUCAGCUAGUUUGCUGUAGUUCUGUCUCAUCUAGGACCCUUCCUUGGAGAGCUACCUGCUACUUGUGACAUCCCCUUACGAGUCUAGCACAGCUGGCGAGGAAUGACCCUGCAGCAGGGUCCCGCGGCCCCUGGAACACGUUGUUGUGGUUUUGUUUCAGGGGGAGCAAAAGCUUGUGAUGGGAGCAUUGGGCUGGAGGAGCAUCAUGACCCACCACUCAUGUUUAAUCUGGAGCGCGAUGCCCAGGAGCAGGAGCCUUUGGAUACGAAGUCCAGCGAGUACCAGGCCGUGUUUCCUGCAGUAACCAGGGCUUUCGCCGACAUUCUGCAGGAUAUUGCAACAGACAACGUGUCUACGGCCGAUUACUCCCGCAACCCGGCUGCAACGCCCUGCUGCAAUCCACAGCACGUAGUCUGCCGAUGCCAACCUUGCCGCAACCCAGACCACAGCGGGACUACGCAGUCAACACACUCUCAGGCUUAAUCAGCAGUGGGAACAGCAACAAUCUGGCUGGGUGAUGCACGGAGCCUUGAUCCAGCCAGCACCUCAUCCAGGACACACACACUAGAGAAUUAGACCAAGCUUGAUCGCAACGUUUCAGCUCUUAACCCCUGCAGCUAGUAUCGCAGCUUCCUCCGCACGCAGCCAUGAGAUAUGCAAGAGCAAGAACUGUCAACAGCAACUUCAUACCAGCUAGUCAAGCAGCCCAGCACAAGCCACAGCAAGGCAGUGGAGAUAUUUGGUGGCUAUCUGCACCCUCUCCUGGAAAGUACCUUGGCAGAGCUGCGGUGCUCACUCUCCCACCCGCCCUGCGCCCAGAAGGGUUCAGCCUCCCCACCAAACACAAAUGGCCACGUGGUCUCCAGUGGGGCCUGCCAUCCCCAGGCGGGUUUUUCUCCUGAUAGAGAUGCGUUCGGUACUCUCUCUUACAGUGGUGUAUUUUUCUCAGACAUUUUCCCCAAGAGAUUUUGCUCUCAGGAGGCUGGUAGCUGAACUGGGGGCCAUGGCUUAACUUAAGGACUUUCAGAAACACAAAUGACCAAAUCUUGUUGUGCAGUGGCACUGGAUUAACCAUCACCAAGCUGAUCAAGCUACAGUCAUCAUACCUGGGUGUGUUGUGGGUGUCCUUCUGCCUGCAAGGCUUAAUCAGGCCAAACUCCCUUCCAAGCCACUGAGUCAGGAGUUGCCUUAAGGAAGCAAAUGAUAGCUAUACUUCCACUAAGGCUGCCCUCGGUGAAGCAUCCUGGAGCACUGUUAAUAGACAACAGAGUUCCACAGAGGCGCUUUGACUCUUCGUUAUCUUAAGAGAUGACUCUAAAGAAACAGCUAAAAAUUCAUCUGAGUGUCAAAUGUCUAUGUAGCCAAGUGACGAUGAUACAAAUGGCAUGAGGAAGACAUCGGAAAUGAGCAGGCAAAUGUUGGCAAUAUGUACCCCAAGUAGUUCCCCCUUGGGCAUGCUGACAGUGUCACCUUGGGCAUGCUAAGAAUUUGGUCCUGGCGGGAAAUGAAACUUUUAGUACUGAUCUUUGGGAAGCUUUUCUGCCCACCUUUGCAAAGCUAUGGGAAAGCCCUGUUCAGUUCUGUGCCAUGUGGACACCUGCUGCUGGACAGGCAGCCGUGUUGCUGCAAGCAUAUCUAGCGCAAAGCUCUUACCUGUGCUUGUUGUAGGACCUUGGCUGUGUAACGAGGUCACAAUGUCACCUUUAGCCUGCCUUAGGGACUAAGCUGCUUUGUGCAAAGCCAGGCUUGUUAACUCUCUGAUCAUCACGAUUAGACCAUCCGCUAAGUAUGGCAUGCCGGAUGCAAUGAGCAUUCUUCUAAUCCUGCAGCUAAUGUAUGCUGAGUGCAAUACAAAGUUAGUAAAGAAAGCUGGCACUUAACAGAACAACCACUUCAACGGGCUCUCUAAACAGCUUUUCCCAUCUGGCCAAACAGGAACACUAGGUUAUAUACUGCAGUGCGAGGGUACCAUCGCUCAAGCCGCAAGAAUCAACUGGCCACUUAGCAAUCCAGUCUGCAACCUAAAGAGGGUACGGGUAAACUGUCCCGUCUUCAGGGCCCAUUUUCUCAUUGAUACUCAUAUUGUCAGUGGGUGCUAUGUGUCUGUAGUGGCAGCAGUGUCCUUCAGCUGCCUGCCCUUUUGAGGUACCCAAAGGGCACUGAGCAUAGAAGAGCUACUUUUGUAUUUCAGGCACCAGUCACUGGCUUCUAAUACUGGCCUGCCAUGCAGUUGCUAGUUAGGAGUCAGAGCAAUAAAAAUCUCUCCUGCUUUUAGGCUCCACAUAAUGCUCCUGAAUGAGAUUCUUUGGCUCUUGAUGCUUAACAAAAAUCCAGCUGAACUGAGCUACGAAUGCUAUCCCUGCAGUCGUGCCCUAUAGAGCGGCAUUUAAAACCAGAACUGUGCACUCACUAAGCAGAAGUGGGCUUGCUUCUCCCUACAAGGAUUUCUUAUUAGUGAGAAGGGAGCUGUAUGCACUCCUAAGCCCUCCCACCGAGUCAGCUUUCUGAAGGGGACCAAAACUACGAUGUCUUUCACUGGGUUUGCGCUGUUGCCCCGGACUGUCGCAUCCGAGUGCCAGCCGCAUAAAACAAACAGCAGGUCCUGGGGGACCUCCUGGAAUCCAAUCUAUUCCUCUCGCCGCAAGCAAUGCAAGCGAUUGAUCUCGUCUUCCUCAUCACUACGCUUUCCACAGCACACAGCAGUCGGUAUCGUGAGUAACGACAUCCAGACAACUUUUCGUUUGAGUCUAUUUUUAAAUCAUGCGCUUGGGCAUUUCAUCUUUUCUCUUUGAGAUCUCAGGUCUGGCCCUUCCCUUUUCAAAUUAAGCGGCCUCCUUCUAUAGCUAGCAAUAGAUUUUGAAUCCGGCCCAAGAUAUCUCUGAAGCCUUGCUUGCUCGUGUUUAGUUCACCAGUGACCCAGGGCAGGAGAAGGCAGAGCAUUUUAAGACAAGAACUGCAGGAAAGGACUACGGCAUGUUGCUCUUGCCACAAGGGCCUGUCGUAGCAUAAGCCAGCGAGUAGAGCUGGAUGGAGGGACGGCUGCUCUGCUUGUGACAGCUCAGAAGAGGUUUGGGAAACUUUUUGUUGCACCUCGGACAGGGACCAAACCUCCCCCCUGCUGCUCUGAACUGGGAUUGUGCCCAAACCUCUUUGUCAAUUUGCUUCUCUCUUCUCUCUCUUUCUAGUCGGAGGUGACGAGGGAGACCACCUUGGACCCCGGGAAUCUCUCCCUGAAUAUUUUGUGGAAAGAGAAAUGCAGCGGCUUCAACAAAGCAGCAUGUCUCAGUAAAAAGGCAUUUGUCAAAAUUGCUCUGACUGCCUUUGCCCAGCGAGCGUGGCCCGAGUGAGCUCCCAAACUAGCAAGUGAACUGGCCACAGGGUCCAUGACUUCCAGCCCGUACAGGGGAAGCACAGCCCCAGCGACAGAUGCCAUGUCUGAGCUCCUACUGCUCCGUCUCUCCACCGAGGAAUAUUUUUGGAAAGUCCCCUCCCUCUUCCUGAGUCACACGCAUAAAUUGUUCCCUCGAGUUAAUUACAGCACCGGGCUCUGACAGAUCAAAGUUCAUUAAAUAAAGAGCCUGCUGUUGUACAGCGGGGGGAUCAGGCUGCUUCUAUUCAAUCCGCGCACAGCAUGCAGACUCACUCAAGCCUAGCUCAGCUCCUGCUUGUUGGCACAUGCUUGUCCCUAGACCAUAUCUCCAAGGGCAGGCUCCUUGGAAACAAGCACAGCAAUUCUUCCUGGUCCUUGCUCCCUCUCAAGAGGACAUUCAUUUUACUACCCUCAGGGCCUAAACCUCAGCAGAGAGGCACUUUCUACCCCUCCAAACUGCAAAACUAAGUACCCUGAUUAGGAAGAACAAUUGGAGAAAACGUUCGUUCCAGGUUUGGAGUCAAGCACGGCACAGACAACACCAGGGAAGUGUAUUGUGCAGGGUGAGAGCAUUGCAAGGUCUGAAUUGCAGCAGAGUUUAAUGGGGAUGCUGGCAAGUCAGGUCUCAUGUAGACCUGAUUUCAAAGUGCUUUACAAAGGAGGUCAGUGUCCUUGAUCCCCUAGGCAGAUCUGAAAGCUUCAGCCACAAGUUGGGGGCCCAGUUCUGAGACCUUCAUGUGAUUUCUACUCCCUCCUCACCCUGGCAAAGCUCCUGUCGUAGGACGGGUGGAAAAACUCAAGCGUUGCCUGUUUUAAAAUGCCUCGGCAAUUUGGUCUGCUCAAAAUGCUCUGCUGUAUUAAGGUGUUAUGAUUACCAAGAUGCUGCCUAACUACUCUCAACAAUCAUCACAGGUAACCAAUAUCUAGAUGCCCACUAAAAUAAUAAUUGCAUAACAUAGUAAAAUACUUGGAUAAGGAUUGGAAAGACACGGCCAGGAGCACAGUCAGUUUUAAAAAGCCAAGAUGUUGCCGCCCAGUGAUUAAUGCCCUGUUAAAAUACUAGAAAUUGCCAAUUGUGGUAUAUUUUUCACUGCUUAUGCUGGGAUAGGGGGGAACAUGUUGCAUUUCACUCCGUUUGGAAAUUAAAGGAUGGAUCAGCAGUUUCAUAUUUACCCUGAUGGCUUGUAAGUGCUGUAGCCCAGUGGACUGAAAAAUCCUAUAGGGCCGGAUUUAUUUCCUUUUAAAAAUGCUUUUCUAUGGUUGCAAUAAAAACUUCUGCUCUCUCUCUGUAUUAGAGAUGCGCCCAGUUCAGACCUUCUCCCAGGUCCGCAGGCGUGCAGAUUUUGGGGGGUGGUGUUUGAGCCCAUCUCUAAUCAGCAUUAGGUCUUGCAGACCUCUCCUCCAUCUCUCCUCAGCUGGGUGGGUAGAAGCUUCCUGGCAGUGUCCUCAUACAGAAUUAGUGAUAAUAAGAGAUUAGGGCAGAACAGGGAGAGAAGAAACACAUCUCUGCUGUAAGAGGUUAAUACUUUCUUCUCAACUGUA